RNAcentral lists this ribosomal RNA (253 nucleotides) under uncultured bacterium. RNAcentral's name for it is "partial 16S ribosomal RNA". It matches the Rfam family "Bacterial small subunit ribosomal RNA", at positions 524 to 776 of the family's 1533-position model. The record is from RNAcentral.
UACGUAGGUGACCAGCGUUGUCCGGAUUUACUGGGCGUAAAGAGCGCGCAGGCGGUCGUUCAAGUCGAGUGUGAAAGCCCCCGGCUCAACUGGGGAGGGUCAUUCGAUACUGAUCGACUUGACGGCAGGAGAGGGAAGUGGAAUUCCCGGUGUAGUGGUGAAAUGCGUAGAUAUCGGGAGGAACACCAGUGGCGAAGGCGACUUCCUGGCCUGUUCUUGACGCUGAGGCGCGAAAGCUAGGGGAGCAAACGGG